UGGGUGAAGGUCAUCCCCAAGCCUCAGCUC
This 30-nucleotide non-coding RNA is filed under the name Rattus norvegicus (Norway rat). The record is from RNAcentral. Lineage: Eukaryota; Metazoa; Chordata; Mammalia; Rodentia; Muridae.